This 105-nucleotide ribosomal RNA is filed under the name uncultured bacterium. RNAcentral's name for it is "partial 16S ribosomal RNA". It matches the Rfam family "Bacterial small subunit ribosomal RNA", at positions 1379 to 1482 of the family's 1533-position model. The record is from RNAcentral.
CCUUGUACACACCGCCCGUCACACCAUGGGAGUCAGUUGCUCCAGAAGUGGCUUACCCAACCCGCAAGGGAGGGUGGUCCCCAAGGAGUGGCUGGUAACUGGGUG